GGUCAGGAUAGCUCAGUUGGUAGAGCAGAGGACUG
RNAcentral lists this transfer RNA (35 nucleotides) under Aristida adscensionis. RNAcentral describes it as "partial tRNA-Phe". RNAcentral also lists the same sequence under 1 other name. The record is from RNAcentral. Lineage: Eukaryota; Viridiplantae; Streptophyta; Magnoliopsida; Poales; Poaceae.